Molecule: ribosomal RNA, 497 nt
Filed under: uncultured bacterium
Lineage: Bacteria
Description: partial 16S ribosomal RNA
Rfam family: Bacterial small subunit ribosomal RNA
Source: RNAcentral
GAUGAACGCUGGCGGCGUGCCUAAUACAUGCAAGUCGAGCGAACGGACGAGAAGCGUGCGUUUCUGAUGUUAGCGACGGACGGGUAAGUAACACGUGGAUAACCUAUCUAUAAGAGUUGAAUAACUGCGGGAAACCGGAACUAAUACCGGGUAAUAUUUCGAACCGGAUGGUUCAGGAGUGUAAGAGGGUCUGGCGGUCACUUAUAGAUUGAUCCGCUCUUCGGUGGGGAAGUGGUAGGGUAACGGCUUACCAAGGCAACGAUGCAUUGCCGACCCGAGAGCGUGUUCCGCCACAGUGGAGCUGACAGGCGGCACAGACUCCGAGGGGAGGCAGAGGUAGCUACUCUUCCCAAAUGGGCGAAAGCCUGACGGAGCGGUGCCGGGUGGGUGCUGAAGGGCUUCGGGUGGUAAGACUCUGUUAGUAGGGUAGAACAUAUGCGUAAGUGACUGUGCACUGUGUGACGGUACCUAAUAAGAAAGCACCGGCUAACUACGUG